CUUCAUCCACCUAAAAUAACAGCAAAGAGGGGGUUUUGAAAGCUCAAAAAUAUCAGCCACUCUUCACCCUUGCAAGUAAGUGAUUUUGAUGGCCUUUCUUGAUAAUUUUUGUACUUUUGAAACCUUUGUAGCAUAAUCUAGCUAAUGAGGGGACUUUUUUGCAAAAUGGUUGAAAUUAUAGGGUUUUUUCAUGAGAGUAUUCAUGUGUUUUUCUGAAUUUUUAUGAAAUAAAACGAGUCUUGGUUGUGUAAUAAACAACUUUUGUGAAAGAAGUUUGCAUGAAAACACCUAAAAAGGGUUAUUUUGUAAAGUUAUAAAAUAAGUUGUAAAUGUGUGAAAUAAUUGAAAAUGUGAGUUGCUAUAGUUAUAAAAAGUAUUCGUCUAGGCUUGGUAAAGGAGGAAAUUUGAGAAAAAUUGAUUUAAGAGCCUAAGGGUAAAAUCAUAAUUUUUGUAAAGUCUAUGGGCAAAACGAUCAUUUUUCCAAAUUGUGAAUUAUAGAAUGUUUUAAUUAAUGUAAUGAUUAAAUGAGUGAAUUUCAUCAUGUUAGAUCAAGAAAAUUGAUUUUGGGGCUUAAAUUAGAAUGUACGAGGUUAUGGACUAAAAUAGAGUAAUUAGCUGAAAUUGCAUUCAAGGCAAGUCUGUGUGACUAAAUAAACAUGUUAUCCAUGUUAUUGUUAAUAUACUUGAAAUCUAUUUUGCUAUGAUUGUAUUUAAUUAUAUGUUGAUGGAAUAUGACAUUCCAUUGAAACAAGUAAGUUGUACGUAAAUAAUGCAAAAUUUAAUGUUAUCAUGUAUUAUACGAUUAGUAUAGUAUGAAUUGUUGAUUUACGUUGUGAAUGAGAAUUUAUAUAAUAAAGACUUCCGGUUGAACAUAAAGAAUAUAUUUGGAUAUUCAUGCCAUGACAUUGGGUGAUAUGUGUGCUAGUGUAAGACAUAUCUGAGACAUGCAUCGGCCACAUUACGGGAGCCAGUGUAAGACAUGUCUGGGACAUGCAUCGGCCUCGAGAUAUGCAAGCCAGUGUAAGACAUGUCUGGGACAUGCAUCGACAUUGAGACGAGAGCUAGUGUAAGACAUGUCUGGGACAUGCAUUUGGGACAUGGCAUCAGCUUGUUGUGUGUCAGUGUAAGACUUGUCUGGGGCAUGGCAUUGACACCUAUAAAUGAGAGCCAGUGUAAGACCUGUCUUGGACAUGGCAUCGGCCUCGAUAUAUGAAAGUCAGUGUAAGACCUGUCUGGGACAUGGCAUCGACUUUGAUGUGCUAUCCAGUGUAAGACCAUGUCUGGGACAUGGCGUCGGCAUCUUAUCCCAUGUUUGGGGCUAUUGAAUAUCCUGUAGUAUUCCAAAUGGUUUAACGGGAGAUUUACGGUUUAUAUUGAAAUGAGAGAACUUAUGACCAUGUGGUGAGUGGUAUAGGUACUUAUAUGAAAUUGAUGAGAUGUGAAUUCAAUUCAUGUUGUAUGAUUAGUAAGGAAUGAAUAUGAGCAUGUUGAGUAACACAGGUAUGUAUGCCAAACUCAUGAGAAAUGAUUUCGGUUUAUGAUGCAUAUUGGGUGAAGAUGUAAAUAGGUAAUUCAUGCCUAUGAGAAUGAUUUUGUGAUGACCUUGUGAUUAUAGGCAUAUACUUAUGAUAUAUAAAUAUGUAUAUUUACCAAUGCGGUGAAAAUGAAUUAAUAAUGUGUGAUAAACUUAGUAUCAUUAAUUUACACUAAAACAGCUUUGGACAGCAGCAGUAGUCUGACUUUGAAAAUCCACCAAAAAUUGUGGAAAUUGAGUUAGAGGCUGAAUAAAAUAUUAAAUUAAAUUUUAAUGAGUCUAGUUUCACAUAGGAGAAACGGUGUAAGCAUAAGAGUUUCAUAUUAUAAAAUAUUUAAAUUAUUUUAAGAUAGAGUCAGAAUGAUUUCGAAAUCCCAUAUUUUGAUUUGAAAAAUCAUUUAAAAUUGUAAAAAAAUAAUUAGGGGUUAUAAUUUAUAUGCUUAUAAUCCUUGAUGAGUCUAUUUUCAAGCGAAAUAGACAAGAACAUUAUCAUAGUCCCGUAUUAUGAGAUAAUUAAUUUUUAGUGAAGAGGGGUCAAAACUAUCACACAGCAAGAAAAUGGUGACUUUAAAGAAUAAACUGUACUUAUUGGCUAAACUAAAAAUUCUAAAAAUUUUAUGGUAAGAAGGUAUGUGAGUCUAGUUUCAGAAAAAAUUUACAGAUCUUAAUUUAGCGUUCCGUACCUCCUGAUAUAAAUAAUUUAGUGACUGUGACUUGAGAAAAUAGCUUGACCUAAACAUAGGUAAAUAGGCAAUUAUGAGAGUAUUACCUUGAGAUCAUGUUGUAAGAAUUGGUGGAAGCAUAUUGAUAAAUUGCAUAUUAUUUUUAUAUGGACUUACUAAGCAUGUAGCUUACUCCCUCUUUUCCAUUUCUUUUAGCUUUGUCAGGUUAGCUUGGGGUUGGAGAUCGCCGGAGGCAGCAUCACACUAUCAAGUCACUACCUUUGGGAUAAUGAAGCACAUGUUAGAAAUUUUCAAGUGAGUGGCAUGUAACACCCCGAUUUUUGGGGCCUAGAGGAGUUGGGCUUUGAGUUUGGGAUUCGGAUAGAAGGAAACCUAAAUAAUUAGGAAGUUUUAAAUAUUACCGUUUAAGAAAAAAAUUUUGAAUUACUACUAGAAAAUUUUUACUAUAUUUAUUAUUAUAGAUAUUUUAAAUUUUUACGAAAUUUUAAUUAGUAUUAUGAGAUAAAAUUAUUAUUAGAAAAAUAUUACUGCAUGUAUGUUUGAAAAAUUUUUAUGAAAAUUAUUAUUAUUUACUGUAUUAUUGAUAUUUGAAAUUUUUAUUAUUAGAUAUAUUUAUAAAAUUAUUAUUAUUAGAUAAGGAAAUAUAUAUAUAUAUUUAUAAAAGUAUUAUUGUUUUGGUGUUUAAGACUCUAGAAAAAUUUUAAUUUUAUGCUACCUUAGGGAAUCUGGGCAGUAGGCCUUAUUAAUAAUUUGGGCUGAGUUUUAGCAUAAAGGAGCACCUGUCCUAGUGGCUAAGCAUGCUAGGUAGUAGGAAGGAGAGUUGGGGUUUGACUCCCAACAUGUGCAAAAGAGUUUUAUUUUUCUUUAUAUCAGGGAACGACGUAGAGAAGUGUUAUAUAAAGUUAAAGUUAAAAGGUAACACAAAAGGGAAGCUCGGCCCAGUGGCAGAGGCGCUGGGAGUGUGGUAUAGUGCCUAGGUUCGAGGGUUGGCACACGCAAAGGCUUGGUUUUUAUUUUAAGAAGCCAGAUCGCACUAAAGUAAGGUUUAAGAAUAAUUGCGACCGAGCUAUGUCACAAGAAGCGCCUGUGGCUCAGUGGCAGCAGCGUGGUGGGCAUAUGGAGAGGGC
Molecule: long non-coding RNA, 3344 nt
Filed under: Gossypium barbadense (sea-island cotton)
Lineage: Eukaryota; Viridiplantae; Streptophyta; Magnoliopsida; Malvales; Malvaceae
Description: long non-coding RNA (GBAR_LNC004504)
Source: RNAcentral